GUCCAGCUGACGAGUCCGAAAUAGGAUGAAACACGCGUCCUGGAU
Molecule: non-coding RNA, 45 nt
Organism: Schistosoma rodhaini
Lineage: Eukaryota; Metazoa; Platyhelminthes; Trematoda; Strigeidida; Schistosomatidae
Source: Rfam